This 402-nucleotide ribosomal RNA is filed under the name bacterium. RNAcentral's name for it is "partial 16S ribosomal RNA". It matches the Rfam family "Bacterial small subunit ribosomal RNA", at positions 355 to 776 of the family's 1533-position model. The record is from RNAcentral.
UGGGGAAUUUUGCACAAUGGGGGAAACCCUGAUGCAGCGACGCCGCGUGAUUUAGAAGGCCUUCGGGUUGUAAAAAUCUUUUUUACGGGAUGAAAAUGACAGUACCGUAAGAAUAAGGUCCGGCUAAAUACGUGCCAGCAGCCGCGGUAAUACGUAUGGACCGAGCGUUGUCCGGAAUCAUUGGGCGUAAAGGGUACGUAGGCGGCCUAGUAAGUUAGAAGUGAAAUAAUAUAGCUCAACUAUAUAAAGCUUUUAAAACUGCUAGGGUUGAGAGAUGGAAGGGAAAGUGGAAUUCCUAGUGUAGCGGUGAAAUGCGCAGAUAUUAGGAAGAAUACCGGUGGCGAAGGCGACUUUCUGGUCAUCAUCUGACGCUGAGGUACGAAAGCGUGGGUAGCAAACAGG